RNAcentral lists this ribosomal RNA (253 nucleotides) under uncultured bacterium. Its description in RNAcentral is "partial 16S ribosomal RNA". It matches the Rfam family "Bacterial small subunit ribosomal RNA", at positions 524 to 776 of the family's 1533-position model. The record is from RNAcentral.
UACAGAGGAUGCAGGCGUUAUCCGGAAUGAUUGGGCGUAAAGCGUCUGUAGGUGGCUUUUUAAGUCCGCCGUCAAAUCCCAGGGCUCAACUCUGGACAGGCGGUGGAAACUACCAAGCUGGAGUACGGUAGGGGCAGAGGGAAUUUCCGGUGUAGCGGUGAAAUGCGUAGAUAUCGGAAGGAACAUCAGUGGCGAAAGCGACUUCCUGGACCAAUACUGACGCUCAUGUGCGAAAGCGUGGGGAGCAAACAGG